UGCAAUGACACAAUCUUGGCUCACUGCAAAGUCUGCCUCCCUGGGUCAAGCAAUUCUGCCUCAGCCUCCCUAGUAACUGGGACUACAGGUGCGUGCCAUCACGCCCAGCUACUUUUUGUAUUUUUGGUAGAGACAGGGUUUCACCAUGUUGGCCAGGCUGGUCUCAAACUCCUACCCUCAAGUGAUCCACCCACCUCGGCCUCCCAAAGUGCUGGGAUUACAAGCGUGAGCCACCGCGCCUGGCCUCCAGUGAAAAAUUUAAAAAGGAUACAAGCUCAUACUUGACGAAGUAUUCAACUAUGUAGUAAAAUCACCAUGAUUUUAUCCUGAUUUGCACCUUGAGAAUUAAAAUAGUCACUUGAUUAGAAGGGAAUUAUCAAAUAACCAAAGGAAAAACAUUUUGCUGGGCUGUUACAGAGAUAAUCCUGAAUAUUUGGAAAGGGGAAUUAGAAUGAUCUCUUACUUUAAGAAUUUCUGAACCAAACACCGCAUGUUCUCACUCAUAGGUGGGAAUUGAACAAAGAGAACACAUGGACACAGUAAGGGGAACAUCACACUCUGGGGACUGUUGUGGGGUGGGGGGAGGGGGGCGGGAUAGCAUUAGGAGAUAUACCUAAUGCUAAAUGACGAGUUAGUGGGUGCAGCACACGAGCAUGGCACAUGUAUACAUAUGUAACUAACCUGCACAUUGUGCACAUGUACCCUAAAACUUAAAGUAUAAUAAUAAUUUAAAAAAAAAAAAAGAAUUUCUGGGCCAGGUGCGGUGGCUCACGCCUGUAAUCCUAGCACUUUGGGAAGCCAAGGUGGGUGGAUCACAAGGUCAAGAGUUCAAGACCAACCUGGCCAACAUGGUGAAACCCCAUCUCUACUAAGAAUACAAAAAUUAGCCAGGCGCGGUGGUGUGUGCCUAUAAUCCCAGCUACUCGGGAGGCUGAGGCAGAAUCGCUUGAACUCGGAAAAUGGAGGUUGCAGUGAGCCGAGAUCACACCACUGCACUCCCGCCUGAGCGACAGAGCAAGACGCCGUCUUGAAAAAAAAAAAAAAAAUUUCUGAGUUGGGGUGAGAAAUCUCCCUGAGUAUUUCUAGGCUCUUCGCUCAUGUUUUUGAGGGCUUCACUUGAUAAUGACCAUGGGAAGAAUCUGGGGUGCAAAGUUCCACGUGCAUUAGCCGAAAUUAUUCAUUCAACUAGAAAGACAAUUUUGCAUCCACUAAUACAUAAAAAUCAGAAAGGAGAAUUGGGAAAAAGCAUAUUCUUAGAAUAACAUUUAGCAUCCACCAAAGUGAAGGACAUAGGUUUCUGGCACAGUUGAAACCUUAGUUGGAAAACCAAACCUUGGCACAGUGCCAAUUAUUUAUCUUUUGAUCAGGACAUUUGAAAUAGGCAGAGACCACCAAAAAAGGACAAAGUAUUGAAAAGUAGCUGCUCAUUUUUUACUGCCAAUAUUCCUGAACUUUAAAGAAUAUCACACCUAAUCAACCGCAAUAGAAUUGGGCAUUCAGACUUGAUUCUUAGAUGAAUUUCCAAUAAUUUUUAAAUCAUUGAUCUGGCUUGGUAAAUAGCUCUCCAAACUUCUACAGCUAAUGGAAAAAUCACUUAACCUUUACUAGAAGUAACAGAAAGCAUUAAAGUUGAAACCUAAUGCAGCAGUUCUUUCCAGUGAGUUGAACUGCCUUAGCAGAAAUCUUCCCAUUGAGAUACAGGCUUUAUUUUUAUUAUUAUAUUUUUGGAGACAGUGUCUCACUCUGUCACCCAGGCUGGACUCACAACUCACUGCAGCCUCAAACUCCUGGGCUCAAGUGAUCCUUCCAGCUCAGCCUCCUGAGUAGCUACAGGCAUAUGUCACCAUACCCAGCUAAUUUUUUUCAUUAUUUUAUUUAAUUUUAUUUUUUAGACUCGCUCUGUCGCCCAGGCCAGAGUGCAGUGGCGCAAUCUCUGCUCACUGCAACCUCUGCCUCCCGGGUUCAAGCGAUUCUCCUGCCUCAGCCUCCUGAGUAGCUGGGACUACAGGUGUGCACCACCACGUCCAGCUAAUUUUUUGUAUUUUUAGUAGAGAUGGGGUUUCACCAUGUUGGCCAGGCUGGUCUCAAACUCCUGACCUUGUGAUCUGCCCACCUUGGCCUCCCAAAGUGCUGGGAUUACAGGUGUGAGCCACCAUGCCCAGCCUAUUUUUUUAUUUAUUUUUUGAAGGGACAGGGUCUCGCUGUGUUGCCAGAGUUGGUCUUGAACUUCCUGGGCUCAACUGAUCCUCCUGCCUCAGCCUUCCAAAAUGCUGGUAUUACAGGUGUGUGGCACUGCACCUGGCCAGCUUUAUUUUAAGGCACUAAUAAUAAAGGGUAUGAAAAAAGCUAGGAAUAAGUCAGAUCUUUCCAGAAAUAAAAGACAAUUUUAAAAAACAUCAGUUAACCUGUCUGGCCUAUUUCAACAUCUAAAGAGGAUAGAGAAUGUAAAAGUUUUCAUGCCUACCUGAUUCAGCUCUUUUCCAUUCUCCCAAACACUUAUUUCCAUGUCUCAGAUUUACAUUUCCUCAAAAGGCAGUAGAGAUUUGGAAACAACAACAACAACAACAACAACAACAACAAAACCACCCCAAAACAAGCAAGCCUAGUUUGUAGCCUAGUCUCAUGAUUAAUGAAUUCCCUAAUGCUGGCAUUUAGCCCACAUACUGAGAGGCCGGAACUGUAACAAGGUGCUCUUUUCUAGUGUUGUAAGGGGAAAAUGUAUAAGGAAAAUUAAUUUUUCAUAAUCAGGUAAAUAUAAUUUGUUAAUAGCAAAACAAGAAAUUCCGGAGAGAAAAAAGAUUUACUCUGAAACACCAGUUCCAGCAGGAUUUCCCUACACCUUCCAACGUAUUCUACUUUGCCAUGAGAAAAAAACUAAAUAAAUAAAAUGGGGUUCAAGUCAGUUAGGCGAGCAAACACCAAAAAACGAGUGAUUUCAUUGUGGAGGUAGGCAUGAUGGGGCAGGAUUUCCCUCAAGUGGAAAUGCUUCCUGUGCACACACACGUAUACAUGCACACACAAACCUGUACACUCACACUAAUUUCAAAAGCAUGGAUGUGGGGAAAGCCCUGCCAGCAUGACUAGACAUGAGGAGUUAGCCCAUCUGCCUGUAUCUCUACACAGGCUCUGACGUACAUUCCACACCCAUAGACAGUCAUGCACGAGAGCCAGCCUGGCUUGCACACAGACUGAGAAUCAGAUCUGGAGACUCCUAGAGCUGCUGCUUCUACAGGAAUUAUUAGUAACUGCAGGAUUAUACUUCCUGUUGAUGUGCAGGGUUUUUAUCUUGCUCUUCUUUCCAGACAUCUCCCCUUUUCAAGAGUACUAAAUCUUGAUUUAGUGGAGGGACUAAUCUUGAUUCUUCGAUGGGCAUGACUUAGAACAGGAGCUACAGGAAUUAAAACUAGCAACAAUAGGGCCCCUUUGGGAUUGGGGUGAAGAAGUAUUUCAGGAUUUAAACAGUUUCUGUGGGUGGGGCGGGGGGAAAGCAGAGUUCUUGGUGGAAGUGGAUGACCUCUGUGAAGGAGAUGAAAAUGCCUCCAAGUCCAGAAAUCAAUAUAAACAAACAAACAAACAAACAAAAAUGAACAUAACUUAAAGGGGCUUCAACUAAAUAUCACUGCAACUGAGUUUGUUGACUCAAGAAAUUCUGCUCUGACGCAGGGAAUUGAAAUAUAAGAACUGAUAAUAUUUCUUCUUCAGAAGGCUAAGCUGGGAGUGAGCCAUACUGCUCUUGGAG
This 3739-nucleotide long non-coding RNA is filed under the name Homo sapiens (human). RNAcentral's name for it is "HSALNT0033394". Lineage: Eukaryota; Metazoa; Chordata; Mammalia; Primates; Hominidae. The record is from RNAcentral.